UAAGAUAUGUACACAUAUAUCUACAACACGAUCUGCAGUUGUUUUUUUUACACGAACGAACUUAAUCGCAAGACAGACAGUGUCAGACAGUCUUGUUAUCGACACGAACUCCGACAGAACACGCGAGUUGAUCCUGCGAUCAAGCAAGUUAUCAUUCUUUCGAAAACAUACGUGCCGCUCGUCAGAUCGACAAGGCGGGUUAUGAACCGUGUUUCACAGAGACGCGGAAGAUAAAUACCAAUGUACACGACAAUACGGUUACGAUCUAGCCAAACACACAACAAAUAUAUACCUGCCACCGGGAUGAUCGGAGAAAAAGAACAGACGGAGUUGGGGUUACUCACUUCGUCCAAACAAGGUCCCCGUCGACGGUUGAAAACACUGUCAGGAAAAACAGAGUUCGCUCGUCGCUACCAUGGAUCCGACGAAAUUUUCCACAACAGACUCACUAGUGACGCUUGUGUAAUUCAGAAAUGACGUCAUAGGCAAAAAUGACGAGGCUAGGACGGCGUGCGUGAAACCCUCCCGAGAACUCGCGGCGACAUGUGUUUUGACGUUUCGCGACGAAUUUCUCGUGAAAUCGACAAAUACGAGAUCUUAUCAACGUGCGUCCUUAGAAAAUCUACCUUGAUCAAUAUAGCGGCCGGUUAUUAGUGACAUCUGGCGAGGAUCUGUCAAGCACGACGCUAUACCCAUCCACGAUACAAUACUUUUCCGCGCUGCUUCCGCAAUCUCUUCCAUAUAGAUAUUUCAGUUAUAUAUGUACAUGACGCAGGAUAUUAAUAAGCAUUUCGAUCGCUUAAAUAGCUGAAGCAACUGUAGAUGACGUACAAUUGAAACGAUCCGUGGUUUAUUGAAAUUAUAAGUAUUUUACUUCAUCACAAAGAUUACAUCAUAUUACACUAUGUGUAUAUGUUCGACAAUACAAUGGGAUAUGUUCCAUUUCACACAGUGCGACGACAAGGAUUGCUAUCUAGUCGGUAGAAAUGAAAAUAAAUAAGAUAUUCCUGGGGCGAGACUCUCCAUUUCGAACGCCAGGAUCUCUUCACGGUGCCCAUGGAGAGGAGGUCGCAAAGGAUCAAUCGCCUAGCACCCCAAGGUGAUAGGUCGCGCGUCAAGAAAUCCAACAUGGCGGGCAUAUGAACAAAAACAUCGUCGUCUAAUUUUAGUAUAUAUUUGGCACCUGAAACAACAGAAUAAAGUUAGUCCGAGAAU
Megalopta genalis is the source of this 1215-nucleotide non-coding RNA. The record is from RefSeq and is a predicted model, not a curated record. NCBI's taxonomy places the organism in Eukaryota, Metazoa, Arthropoda, Insecta, Hymenoptera, Halictidae.